AUUGAACGCUGGCGGCAUGCCUUACACAUGCAAGUCGAACGGCAGCACGGGUGCUUGCACCUGGUGGCGAGUGGAGAACGGGUGAGUAAUACAUCGGAACGUACCUUAUCGUGGGGGAUAACGCAGCGAAAGCUGUGCUAAUACCGAAUACGCCCUGAGGGGGAAAACAGGGGAACGAAAGACUACGCGCGAUUAGAGCGGCCGAUGCCUGAUUAGCUUGUUUGUGGUGUAAAAGCCCACCAAGGCGACGAUCAGUAGCUGGUCUGAGAGGACGAUCAGCCACACUGGGACUGAGACACGGCCCAGACUCCUACGAGAGGCAGCAGUGGGGAAUUUUGGACAAUGGGGGCAACCCUGAUCCAGCAAUGCCGCGUGAGUGAAGAAGGCCUUCGGGUUGUAAAGCUCUUUUGUCAGGGAAGAAACACCGGCUCUAACACAGUCCGGGAAUGACGGUACCUGAAGAAUAAGCACCGGCUAACUACGUGCCAGCCGCCGCCGUAG
RNAcentral lists this ribosomal RNA (501 nucleotides) under uncultured bacterium. Its description in RNAcentral is "partial 16S ribosomal RNA". It matches the Rfam family "Bacterial small subunit ribosomal RNA", at positions 30 to 523 of the family's 1533-position model. The record is from RNAcentral.